Molecule: ribosomal RNA, 468 nt
Filed under: uncultured bacterium
Lineage: Bacteria
Description: partial 16S ribosomal RNA
Rfam family: Bacterial small subunit ribosomal RNA
Source: RNAcentral
GACGAACGCUGGCGGCGUGCUUAACACAUGCAAGUCGAACGGAAAGGCCCUGCUUUUGUUGGGUGCUCGAGUGGCGAACGUGUGAGUAACACGUGAGUAACCUGCCCUUUACUUUGGGGUAACUUCAGGAAACUGGGGCUAAUACCUGCUAGGAGCUCCUGCUGCAUGGUGGGGGUUGGAACGUUUCGGCGGUUGGGGAUGGACUCGCGGCUUAUCAGCUUGUUGGUGGGGUAGUUGCUUACCAAGGCUUUGACGGGUAGCCGGCCUGAGAGGGUGACCGGCGACAUUGGGACUGAGAGACGGACCAGACUCGUACGGGAGGCAGCAGUGGGGAAUAUUGCACAAUGGGCGGAAGUCUGAGGCAGAAACGCCGGGUGCGUGAUGACGGCCUUGGGGUUGUAAACAGCUUUCGCCUGUGACGAAGCGUGAGUGACGGUAAUGGGUAAAGAAGCACCGGCUAACUACGUG